This 230-nucleotide ribosomal RNA is filed under the name uncultured bacterium. RNAcentral describes it as "partial 16S ribosomal RNA". It matches the Rfam family "Bacterial small subunit ribosomal RNA", at positions 567 to 791 of the family's 1533-position model. The record is from RNAcentral.
CGUGCGCAGGCGGUUUUGUAAGUACUGUCGUGAAAUACCCCCGGGCCUCAACCUGGGAAUGGCGAUGGUGACUGCAAGGCUAGAGUUUGGCAGAGGGGGGUAGAAUUCCACGUGUAGCAGUGAAAUGCGUAGAUAUGUGGAGGAACACCGAUGGCGAAGGCAGCCCCCUGGGUCAAAACUGACGCUCAUGCACGAAAGCGUGGGGAGCAAACAGGAUUAGAUACCCUGGU